GACGUAGGAUGCGAGCGUUAUCCGGAAUUAUUGGGCGUAAAGAGUUCGUAGACGAACUGUUAAGUAGGAUGUUAAAGACCAGGGCCUAACCCUGGGAAUGUGUCCUAAACUGGCAGAAUAGAGCAAUUCAGAGGCAAGUAGAAUUCUGUGUGUAGGGGUAAUAUCCGUAGAUAUACAGAGGAAUACCAAAAGCGAAGGCAGCUUGCUGGGAAUUUGCUGACGUUCAAGAACGAAAGCGUGGGGAGCAAAC
This 250-nucleotide ribosomal RNA is filed under the name uncultured bacterium. Its description in RNAcentral is "partial 16S ribosomal RNA". It matches the Rfam family "Bacterial small subunit ribosomal RNA", at positions 524 to 773 of the family's 1533-position model. The record is from RNAcentral.